This 253-nucleotide ribosomal RNA is filed under the name uncultured bacterium. RNAcentral's name for it is "partial 16S ribosomal RNA". It matches the Rfam family "Bacterial small subunit ribosomal RNA", at positions 524 to 776 of the family's 1533-position model. The record is from RNAcentral.
UACGUAGGGGGCAAGCGUUGUCCGGAUUUAUUGGGCGUAAAGAGCGUGUAGGCGGUUUGGUAGGUCCGCUGUGAAAACUCGAGGCUCAACCCCGGACUUGCAGUGGGUACGGGCAGACUAGAGUGUGGUAGGGGAGACUGGAAUUCCUGGUGUAGCGGUGAAAUGCGCAGAUAUCAGGAGGAACACCGGUGGCGAAGGCAGGUCUCUGGGCCACUACUGACGCUGAGAAGCGAAAGCAUGGGGAGCGAACAGG